UGGUGCUCGACUUAUUUGCAUCCUUAUUUUGCCUAAGUAAAUCUUCAGCUUCUGUUUUAUCUUCUUAGAGUGGGUUGACUCUUGGUCGCUUCCAUGCUAAGGGCUGACCAAUGACCACUAAUGCGCUAAUGGUCUUGCAAGUAUACAUGUACGAAUUAGGUAUCAAGCCAGAUUAUUUGAAUCUCACCUAUAUUCAGCAGAAAAUCAAUUAAAUGGUUCUCCGGGGUGCAUGGAACCUAUAUUCAAGUUGAUUUGUUGAACCCACCAACGGAGUUUUAGAAGAUGAAGAGCAAUCUAAAGCGUCUUUUUCGAUCUCCUUACUCCUUCAUCGUUUUAGUUUCCUCUUUAAUUGUCCUUUUUUCCGUGUUUGAUUUAAGAAGAGGGGUGAAUGGUUUAUGUAUGUUUGUAUGGGUAAUAGUUUAAACAAAUAGACUGUUGGACACACAUAUCAUACACUAUAACCUUGGACUUUUAUAUUGUAGCCAUUAGUCAAUCAUAUGUCUUACACUAUUGUUUUUAUACUUGGUGUUCUAAAGAAAAGUUUUCUCACGAUAUCUUUAUGUUCAUUGUGGAGCCUUCGAAUGGGAGCUACGAUCAUUUCCAUUGCUAUUUCCAAUGUUUGGGUGAGCGGAUGGGUUUCUGGUCAUACUUGUAUAUCUAUGAAUUGUUAAUCAUUGUACUCAAAUUGAUAUAUGAUUUGGUACAGAGAAAUGAUCUAAAUUGAGCUUUCUUUUGACUUUGGUGACUCCAUUUACGAGUCUAAUCACCUAAUUGCCACUAUGAAACCUUUAUCUAGGACUUGGUCUAUCACAUUAUAACUCAUGAUUAUAUACAUGCUUUUGCGAAGCUAUAUCUUGAGUUAUGGUUACCUCAUGUUCUACAAGAUUGCAAGUGGAGUGAGGAGUAUAGUUCACAGUUAGUCCCUGGGGAUGUCAUUAGUUUCAAUGCUGGAGAUACCAUUCCAGCUGAUGCUCGUGAGCUCGUCUACUUAGAGGGGAUGAUCCUUUGACAAUUGAUGAGGUGAGUUAAAAUGUAUUAUGGUCAAUUCAAUAACCUCCUACAAAUACUAUUGCUGCUGAAAAUCUGAAUGUUAUGCUUCGCAGUAUGUGUUAACAGAAGAUUGAUCUCAAGUAACUAAGAGAGUAGUUAAUUAUCUAACAUGGUAAUCAAUUUAAUUGACAAUGCAAGCCAGAUUAAUUAUUUGAACCUUUACGACAUAAUAAAAAGAAUUUAGACUUGAGAUAAACUUUAGUUUUAUUAAUUCUGAUUUUGAGGUAGUAUGUUGGGAUCUUGGGGUGAAUAUUAGGUUGUAGGCUGCAAGCUGUAUUUUUAUUGCUCAAGUUGCUACGAUACGUCACCGCUUCCCACCUCUUCUUAUUGAUUCCUCUAUGCACUAGAAGUUUUGGGAUGAGAAGGUUGGAUGGCUGAAAGUGUAGAGUCAAAGGAUGUUACAUCAUGAAAUGAAUCGCUUGACGCCCUUUCAGAGUUCAUCAUUUAGGACUAUCAAGCUGGAAGUAAGAGGAAUAGUAGGCAAGUGUUGUGAGCCACGUAUAUUCAUCUCUCCUUACUGUAAGUAAUAAAGAGAAAGUCCUUACAUGUGUUAUAUGUCAGUAUGCCGUGAUUGACCUGUACAAGGUAUGUAGCUUCUCUAGGUGCAAACUACUAUAAUAAAGAUAUUUCUUUCUUUGCAUCAUUCAUGGAACAGACAUGCAUGGUGCACCUUUUUUGGUAAUAGUAAUUUUGGCUCGAUCUAUUUGUUCUGCUAUAGAAGUUCAUAAAGGAAAUAAUAAGUCUUUUCUUGAAACUUUCACAAGCACUGCACAAACUAACAUCUUCAUUAACUCAUUCCCCCUCCCUCCCUCCAUGUAUUAUCCAUUUAAUAUAGCGAUACACGAAUAAAGAAUUAAGUUAUGGAUUCUAUGUUGUUAUUGCAUUAUGUUAACGCUUUCCUUAUAUUGAAUAAGGUUGGGUCAUGUUUGUUUGUUUCCUUAGUUCAUGCAUGCUCUUAGUGUGUUGCUGGUUAGUAUGGUACUAAUGUUAUUACUUGAAUAAGUAAUUGAUCUACAUGGAUGGAUUGUUAUUGAAUGAGGUCAAGUCAUGUUUGUUUGUUUGCUUGUUUUUUUGUUUGUUUACUUUCAUGGUGGUUGUGGAUCCAAUGUUUGGGUCGUUGCAUUUGGCAAUUGAUUAGUUUGUAUUAAUGGAGUUGAGGUUGUUUUCGUGUUUCCUACAUGAAGUAUUAAUUAUUCCUCAAGGAUGCACUGUUAGUCUGUGAAAGUUACUCGACGAUGCACUUUUGGUAUGUGAUCAAUGUGCCUGUAAAUUGUCAAUGCAUGACACCUACAUUAUCAGCAUAUGUGUGUUCUGUGUUGUCCAUUUAAGUCCAAUCAUAAUAAUUACGUACGCAUACAAGUUUUACCAUUAGCGAUCUUUCUCCAUUUCCCGUACAGUUUUAAGCACGUCUCUAGCUGUUUGUUAUAAAGUUUGAAGCCAUUUAGCAUGUGCCUAAUCUUUUGAGCACCACUCUUGGUGUUUACAGCAAAUUCUUUCAUGUAUACAAUAAGCAGUAAACUAUUUAGGUUAGGAUUUUAGCUUCUGAACAUAUUUUUUCAUGUAUGCAGUCAACUCUUUAUAUUACAAGUUUAGCUUCUGUUGAGCUAUUGAGCUAUUGUGUGAUCGUGAUGAAAGGCCAACAUAUUCUCUUGCGUUUUCUUGAAUUUUCAGUUAAUAUUUGAGAUUUGAGGGUCGAGGGAAAUAAAUCGCGUGGAUUUGGAAAAUGUAGUUUGGACAUAAAUGAUUGAUGGUUGGAAGUUGAAGCAAUAGAAGGUACAAGUUCUCCAAGUAUUAGUAAUGCGCCUACAGAUCGAAUGAAGGCUUGCCAAUGAUGCACAUGAAGAUCCUUUUUUUGUCUCUUUUUUGUGUUUAUAUUUGGGCCUUGCUUGGAUGAUAUGAAUGUAGGUUCACCUUGAAACAAUUUGUGCUAUCUAAGUCUAUCAAAGUAAGCAGCCUAUGUACAAGAAAUAAUGUAAUUCUAGCCCACAACCUUCAAAUUGAUGUUUUUUAUAUCUUGUACUCCCGGCUCUCCAACUACGAGUUUGCUGCAUGAUUUGUAUGUUCAAA
This is a long non-coding RNA of Spinacia oleracea (spinach), 3117 nucleotides long. RefSeq lists it as uncharacterized. The transcript has 3 exons. Lineage: Eukaryota; Viridiplantae; Streptophyta; Magnoliopsida; Caryophyllales; Amaranthaceae. The record is from RefSeq and is a predicted model, not a curated record.